Molecule: small RNA, 28 nt
Filed under: Bombyx mori (domestic silkworm)
Lineage: Eukaryota; Metazoa; Arthropoda; Insecta; Lepidoptera; Bombycidae
Description: ovarian small RNA-17408
Source: RNAcentral
GGCCAAUGAACACAUCCUGAUUGGAUAC